UUCCGGUUGAUCCUGCCGGACCUGACUGCUAUCGGAUUGAUACUAAGCCAUGCGAGUCAUUGUAGCAAUACAAGGCAUACGGCUCAGUAACGCGUAGUCAACCUAACCUAUGGACGGGAAUAACCUCGGGAAACUGAGAAUAAUGCCCGAUAGAACAUUAUGCCUGGAAUGGUUUAUGUUCCAAAUGAUUUAUCGCCGUAGGAUGGGGCUGCGGCCUAUCAGUUUGUUGGUGAGGUAAUGGCCCACCAAGACUAUUACAGGUACGGGCUCUGAGAGGAGUAGCCCGGAGAUGGGUAGUGAGACACGGACCCAGGCCCUAUGGGGCGCAGCAGGCGAGAAAACUUUGCAAUGUGCGAAAGCACGACAAGGUUAAUCCGAGUGGUUUCUGCUAAAGGAACCUUUUGUCAGUCCUAGAAACACUGAUGAAUAAGGGGUGGGCAAGUUCUGGUGUCAGCCGCCGCGGUAAAACCAGCACCUCAAGUGGUCAGGAUGAUUAUUGGGCCUAAAGCAUCCGUAGCCGGCUCUGUAAGUUUUCGGUUAAAUCUGUACGCUCAACGUACAGGCUGCCGGGAAUACUGCAAAGCUAGGGAGUGGGAGAGGUAGACGGUACUCGGUAGGAAGGGGUAAAAUCCUUUGAUCUAUUGAUGACCACCUGUGGCGAAGGCGGUCUACCAGAACACGUGCCGACGGUGAGGGAUGAAGCUGGGGAGCAACCGAUAGAUACCCGGUAGUCCAGCUGUAAC
Molecule: ribosomal RNA, 743 nt
Filed under: uncultured Nitrososphaerota archaeon
Lineage: Archaea; Thermoproteati; Nitrososphaerota
Description: bacterial SSU rRNA
Rfam family: Archaeal small subunit ribosomal RNA
Source: RNAcentral